AGCAGCCGCGGUAAUUCCAGCUCCAAUAGCGUAUAUUAAAGUUGUUGCAGUUAAAAAGCUCGUAGUUGAAUUUCGGGAUCAAUAUGUCGGUCGUGCCUUCGGUACGUACUGGUAUCAUUGGUCUCUCCUUUCUGACGAACCAUGAUGUCAUUAAUUUGGUGUUAUGGGGAGUUAGGACUGUUACUUUAGAAAAAAUUAGAGUGUUUAAAGCAGGCUUUAGCUUGAAUACAUUAGCAUGGAAUAAUGAAAUAGGACGUUCGAACCUAUUUUGUUGGUUUCUAGGAUCAACGUAAUGAUUAAUAGGGAUAGUUGGGGGCAUUAGUAUUCAAUUGUCAGAGGUGAAAUUCUUGGAUUUAUUGAAGACUAACUACUGCGAAAGCAUUUGCCAAGGAUGUUUUCAUUAAUCAAGAACGAAAGUUAGGGGAUCGAAGACGAUCAGAUACCGUCGUAGUCUUAACCAUAAACUAUGCCGACUAGGGAUCGGAUGAUGUUAAUUUUUAAUGACUCAUUCGGCGCCUUA
Molecule: ribosomal RNA, 520 nt
Filed under: uncultured Glomus
Lineage: Eukaryota; Fungi; Glomeromycota; Glomeromycetes; Glomerales; Glomeraceae
Description: SSU rRNA
Rfam family: Eukaryotic small subunit ribosomal RNA
Source: RNAcentral